GAUUAACGCUGGCGGCGUGCAUAACACAUUCAAGUCGAACGGUGAUCCCUUCGGGGUGAAGCUUAUGAAACUUAGUGGCGGACGGGUGAGUAACGCGUGGGUAACCUGCCCUUUUGUGGGGAACAACUUCGAGAAAUCGGAGCUAAUACCGCAUAUACUUACGGGAUCGCAUGAUUCUGUAAGGAAAGAUGGCCUCUGAAUAUGCUAUCGCAAAAGGAUGGACCCGCGUCUGAUUAGCUAGUUGGUGAGGUAACGGCUCACCAAGUCGACGAUCAGUAGCCGGACUGAGAGGUUGAACGGCCACAUUGGGACUGAGAUACGGCCCAGACUCCUACGGGAGGCAGCAGUGGGGAAUAUUGGGCAAUGGGGGCAACCCUGACCCAGCAACGCCGCGUGAAGGAAGAAGGCUUUCGGGUUGUAAACUUCUUUUACCAGGGACGAAGACGUGACGGUACCUGGAGAAAAAGCCACGGCUAACUACGUG
This 484-nucleotide ribosomal RNA is filed under the name uncultured bacterium. Its description in RNAcentral is "bacterial SSU rRNA". It matches the Rfam family "Bacterial small subunit ribosomal RNA", at positions 28 to 507 of the family's 1533-position model. The record is from RNAcentral.